RNAcentral lists this small RNA (81 nucleotides) under Flavobacterium dankookense. RNAcentral describes it as "Flavobacterium sp. ARSA-19 Flavo-1 RNA". It matches the Rfam family "Flavo-1 RNA". Lineage: Bacteria; Pseudomonadati; Bacteroidota; Flavobacteriia; Flavobacteriales; Flavobacteriaceae. The record is from Rfam by way of RNAcentral.
GUUUAGCCCGGAUAGCAGUGGAAAUCCUUUUCUUUUUUUCUUCAGAAAAAGAAAAGAUUGAAACGUAUAGCCGGAAUAGCU